ACGUUCAAAACACAUCCACUCUGUAGUAAUGCUAGCAGAGUACACACAAGAAGAAAAAUAACUGCACUAGAUUGUAAAGACUGGGGUGGACCUCUUUCUUAAUGUCCAGUGUCUUUUGUCUUAAGAUUUGGUGUUAUAUGU
Small nucleolar RNA from Suricata suricatta (meerkat), 141 nucleotides. The record is from Ensembl. NCBI's taxonomy places the organism in Eukaryota, Metazoa, Chordata, Mammalia, Carnivora, Herpestidae.